This 444-nucleotide long non-coding RNA is filed under the name Cicer arietinum (chickpea). RNAcentral describes it as "long non-coding RNA (CARI_LNC001205)". Lineage: Eukaryota; Viridiplantae; Streptophyta; Magnoliopsida; Fabales; Fabaceae. The record is from RNAcentral.
AUUUGAACAAUUAAUAGCGUACCUUUCUAAAUCUGAUUUUUGUACCACAAAAUUCAAUGAUUGUUUUAAAUGAUAACGUUUGAUUGCAUGUACGCAUUCAUCCUUGUUAUGAAAAUUUUAUUCCAGCUGCAAGAGUUCCAUCUACUGCUGGGACUUCGUAAAUGAACAUGUGAUCAGAUUCACUUGGUUGCUUUGCAGUGUCUAAAUUGAUGUUCUUUGUGUGGAAUGAUGGAUUGAAUACAAGUAGGAUAGAUUGAUCUUCUGCUUCCAUAUCUUCAUCAACAUCAUUGUCGUCAAAAUCACCAAAUAAUUGAUCGAAGUAUGUUUCAUCCUCUUCACUAUAGUCGCCUAAUUCUUCCUCAUUGAUAUUAUACAAGACACUAAACGGAAGAUCAUAUUAUAGACUUGCUAAAAGAGAUUCGUGACAGAGUUGUUGGGAGGCAU